RNAcentral lists this non-coding RNA (24 nucleotides) under Arabidopsis thaliana (thale cress). Lineage: Eukaryota; Viridiplantae; Streptophyta; Magnoliopsida; Brassicales; Brassicaceae. The record is from RNAcentral.
AGGAGUCAAUUUAUGAUAACUAAU